RNAcentral lists this unclassified non-coding RNA (232 nucleotides) under Melitaea cinxia (Glanville fritillary). RNAcentral's name for it is "misc RNA ENSMCXG00005009121.1". Lineage: Eukaryota; Metazoa; Arthropoda; Insecta; Lepidoptera; Nymphalidae. The record is from RNAcentral.
CCUACGUUGUAUUAUACCGCAUAACUUUCUACUGGAUGUACCGAUUUUGAUAAUUCUUUUUUUGUUGGAAAGGGGAUAUCCCUAGUUUGGUACCAUGAUAAGGAAACCAGGAUCUGAUGAUGGGAUCCCAGAUAAAUCGAGGAAAACUCUCGAAAAUCCGCAAUAACUUUUCACUGGGUGUACCGAUUUUGAUAAUUUUUAAUUUAAUCGAAAGCUGAUAUUUAUCAUGUGG